This is a small nucleolar RNA of Lactuca sativa (garden lettuce), 106 nucleotides long. The record is from RefSeq and is a predicted model, not a curated record. NCBI's taxonomy places the organism in Eukaryota, Viridiplantae, Streptophyta, Magnoliopsida, Asterales, Asteraceae.
AGAUCGUGUUGGGGGCAACUUCCUAGCAUGCCUUUAUACAUUUCCAUGCUUCAAACAAGGACUCACCAUCAUAUUGGUGGAAAUUUGCUAUCUUUUUAUUGAGCUU